CAUUUGGUUUCAAAAUAAAAGUGUUAUUGGAGAUUAUGACAAAAUCGGACAGUAACUUGUAUCUUCUACAAGAUUUGAAUUUGUAAUACUCAGUCUAAGACAUGUAGUUUUUGGAGCACAUUUUACAGUGUACGGUUCAUCAGUUUGGAAUGAGAUGACCAAUCGGCAUUAGAAUUAUCAGAACCCUUCAAUAUCGUUGAAAAUAUGCCGAGGCGAUGUGGUCGACAGACUACCAGAGCCAAUCACCCUGCAAACACGCCAAAACAGUAUUGGAAAGUCUCAUUAUUUUUUGCGUAUGUUGAAAACAAAUGUACGAUCAACAGUUACUAGCAUUACUGCAUAUUCAUUGGCAUUUCAGUGUGAAUAUUGACAAUUAAAGUAAUAGAGAAGUUUGUUUCUGCCUAGACCCGAAGAGCAGAUUUUGGACAAUUUUGAGUAAAUUCUGUAUCACAAAUAUGUGUUGUUUAUGUAUUACUCUAUUCAGAAGAUUUAUU
RNAcentral lists this long non-coding RNA (494 nucleotides) under Mytilus galloprovincialis (Mediterranean mussel). Lineage: Eukaryota; Metazoa; Mollusca; Bivalvia; Mytilida; Mytilidae. The record is from RNAcentral.